This 396-nucleotide ribosomal RNA is filed under the name uncultured bacterium. RNAcentral describes it as "partial 16S ribosomal RNA". It matches the Rfam family "Bacterial small subunit ribosomal RNA", at positions 523 to 918 of the family's 1533-position model. The record is from RNAcentral.
AUACGUAGGUGGCAAGCGUUGUCCGGAAUUAUUGGGCGUAAAGCGCAUGUAGGCGGCGGUUUAAGUCUGUCGUGAAACUGCGGGGCUCAGCCCCGUAUGGCGAUGGAAACUGGACGGCUUGAGUGCAGGAGAGGAAAGGGGAACUCCCAGGGUAGCGGUGAAAUGCGUAGAUAUUGGGAAGAACACCGGUGGCGAAGGCGCCUUUCUGGACUGUGUCUGACGCUGAGAUGCGAAAGCCAGGGUAGCGAACGGGAUUAGAUACCCCGGUAGUCCUGGCCGUAAACGAUGGGUACUAGGUGUGGGAGGUAUCGACCCCUUCCGUGCCGGAGUUAACGCAAUAAGUACCCCGCCUGGGGAGUACGGCCGCAAGGCUUAAACUCAAAGGAAUUGACGGGG